Rana temporaria (common frog) is the source of this 309-nucleotide small nucleolar RNA. The record is from RefSeq and is a predicted model, not a curated record. NCBI's taxonomy places the organism in Eukaryota, Metazoa, Chordata, Amphibia, Anura, Ranidae.
GCCACAUGAUGAGUCCAAGGCGAAUGUGACUCCUCCUUCCUCUGGGUGUGGUCUCUGCCCCGUGGCCCCCGGUCUGUAAUCUUGGUGGCUGUGGAGAAGAGUCUCGCUGCCGCUGUAAGGCCAGACCUACAGCAGCCUAAUGGCGGUCUCUCUCAUCCAAUCCUGCCCUCCGAAGUCAGAGUGUGCAGAGACUGAGGGGGACCUAUAGGAAGUGCGGGGACCAAUAAGGGGCCGGGGCGGAGCUCAUCACUCAAUGACAGAGGUAACAAGGGGGAGAUGUGAGCACAUGUCUUUGGUAAUCUGAUGGCA